RNAcentral lists this ribosomal RNA (491 nucleotides) under uncultured bacterium. RNAcentral's name for it is "partial 16S ribosomal RNA". It matches the Rfam family "Bacterial small subunit ribosomal RNA", at positions 29 to 506 of the family's 1533-position model. The record is from RNAcentral.
AGUGAACGCUGGCGGUAGGCCUAACACAUGCAAGUCGAACGGCAGCACAGUAAGAGCUUGCUCUUACGGGUGGCGAGUGGCGGACGGGUGAGGAAUACAUCGGAAUCUACUUUUUCGUGGGGGAUAACGUAGGGAAACUUACGCUAAUACCGCAUACGACCUACGGGUGAAAGCAGGGGAUCUUCGGACCUUGCGCGAUUGAAUGAGCCGAUGUCGGAUUAGCUAGUUGGCGGGGUAAGGGCCCACCAAGGCGACGAUCCGUAGCUGGUCUGAGAGGAUGAACGCCACAAUGGAACAUAGGCACGGGCCAGAAUCCUACGGGGGGGCACAGUGGGGGAUAUUGGGAAAAGGGGGAAAAGCUUAAGCAAGCACGCCGCGGGUGUGAAAAAGGGCCUGCGGGUGGAAAACCCUUUUUUUAGGGAAAAAAAAACAGGAGGUUAAAUCCCCGCGGUUUGAAGGGAACCAAAAAAAAAAACACCGGUAAAUUCGGG